UGGGGAAUAUUGCACAAUGGAGGGAACUCUGAUGCAGCGACGCCGCGUGAGUGAUGAAGGACUUCGUUUCGUAAAACUCUGUUCUAUGGGAAGAAAAGGACUGUACCAUAGGAGAAAGCUCCGGCUAAAUACGUGCCAGCAGCCGCGGUAAUACGUAUGGAGCGAGCGUUGUCCGGAAUUAUUGGGCGUAAAGGGUGCGCAGGCGGCUUUACAAGUUGGAUGUGAAAUAUUGUGGCUCAACCACAAACGUGCAUCCAAAACCGCAAAGCUUGAGUUAAGGAGAGGUAAGUGGAAUUCCUGGUGUAGCGGUGGAAUGCGUAGAUAUCAGGAGGAAUACCGGUGGCGAAGGCGACUUACUGGACUUAAACUGACGCUCAGGCACGAAAGCGUGGGGAGCAAACAGG
RNAcentral lists this ribosomal RNA (404 nucleotides) under Fusobacteriota bacterium. RNAcentral describes it as "Fusobacteria bacterium partial 16S ribosomal RNA". It matches the Rfam family "Bacterial small subunit ribosomal RNA", at positions 355 to 776 of the family's 1533-position model. Lineage: Bacteria; Fusobacteriati; Fusobacteriota. The record is from RNAcentral.